GCCAUGGUUCAAGCAGAAAAACAUAGUUCUUUUUCACAAACCCAGUUGCAUUACAACCAUCUUCUUCAGUACAGCAAACCAUGCUGCCAGGUCCUUUCAACAAUACUUCAUUUGUUAUUUAUCACCUGAACUGUUUUUCGGCCAUAGUGGUAAUAGCUAUAUGCAGAUGUUACCGUUGUGAAAGCUGUGAUGCACCAUAACGUCUGCAGAUACACGCUGUCAACAU
RNAcentral lists this long non-coding RNA (226 nucleotides) under Gallus gallus (chicken). The record is from RNAcentral. Lineage: Eukaryota; Metazoa; Chordata; Aves; Galliformes; Phasianidae.